GACGUAGGAUGCAAGCGUUGUCCGGAUUUAUUGGGCGUAAAGAGUUCGUAGGCGGUUUGUUAAGUCUGAUGUUAAAAAUCGGGGCUCAACCCCGGGGCUGCAUCGGAUACUGGCAGACUGGAGUAUGGUAGAGGUAAGUGGAAUUUCUGGUGUAGCGGUGAAAUGCGUAGAUAUCAGGAGGAACACCUGUGGUGUAGACAGCUUGCUGGAUCGUUGCUGACGCUGAGACGCGAAAGCGUGGGGAGCAAACAGG
This 253-nucleotide ribosomal RNA is filed under the name uncultured bacterium. RNAcentral's name for it is "partial 16S ribosomal RNA". It matches the Rfam family "Bacterial small subunit ribosomal RNA", at positions 524 to 776 of the family's 1533-position model. The record is from RNAcentral.